This 69-nucleotide transfer RNA is filed under the name Triops longicaudatus. RNAcentral describes it as "tRNA-Asp". The record is from RNAcentral. RNAcentral also lists the same sequence under 1 other name. Lineage: Eukaryota; Metazoa; Arthropoda; Branchiopoda; Notostraca; Triopsidae.
GAAGAAAUCUAGUUUAUCCAAAAAAUCUAGGCUUGUCAAGCCUAAGAAGUCAGUUAUGACGAUCUCUAA